CUGAAAGCAUCUAAGCACGAAACUCAUCUCAAGAUUAGAUUUCUUUUAAGGGUCGUUAUAGACGAUGACGUUGAUAGGUCACAAGUGUAAGUGUAGAAAUACAUUUAGCUGAGUGAUACUAAUUACCCGUAGACUUUGAUUUGCUUUUAUAUAUU
RNAcentral lists this ribosomal RNA (155 nucleotides) under Flavobacteriales bacterium. RNAcentral's name for it is "partial 23S ribosomal RNA". It matches the Rfam family "Bacterial large subunit ribosomal RNA", at positions 2771 to 2925 of the family's 2925-position model. The record is from RNAcentral. Lineage: Bacteria; Pseudomonadati; Bacteroidota; Flavobacteriia; Flavobacteriales.